This 253-nucleotide ribosomal RNA is filed under the name uncultured bacterium. RNAcentral's name for it is "partial 16S ribosomal RNA". It matches the Rfam family "Bacterial small subunit ribosomal RNA", at positions 524 to 776 of the family's 1533-position model. The record is from RNAcentral.
UACAGAGGUCUCAACCGUUGUUCGGAUUCAUUGGGCGUAAAGGGUGCGUAGGCGGUCGGGUAAGUCGGAUGUGAAAUCUCAGGGCUCAACCCUGAAACUGCAUUCGAUACUGCUUGGCUAGGGUACUGGAGAGGAGACUGGAAUUUACGGUGUAGCAGUGAAAUGCGCAGAUAUCAGGAGGAACACCGGUGGCGAAGGCGGGUCUCUGGGCCGAAAUUGACGCUGAGGAGCGAAAGCGUGGGGAGCAAACAGG